AUGAUACGGCGUCCACCAGCAGUUGUUUGCUACAUUUGUGGUCGUGAAUAUGGAACAAAAUCUAUUAGCAUUCAUGAGCCACAAUGUCUGAAAAAAUGGCAUAAUGAAAACAACUUGUUGCCUAAAGAGUUAAGGAGACCAGUACCUAAAAAACCAGAAGUCAGGACCAUUACUGGUAAGGCCAAAGGCUUCUAUGAUCUUGAUGCUUUAAAUGAAGCUGCUUGGACAAGUGCCCACAGCCAGUUGGUUCCCUGUAAUGUUUGUGGGCGUACCUUCCUGCCAGACAGACUGAUUGUUCACCAACGAUCUUGUAAACCCAAAGCCGCCAAG
RNAcentral lists this long non-coding RNA (330 nucleotides) under Homo sapiens (human). RNAcentral's name for it is "HSALNT0093578". Lineage: Eukaryota; Metazoa; Chordata; Mammalia; Primates; Hominidae. The record is from RNAcentral.